AUAGCAAAAUGUUUAGCAU
This 19-nucleotide small nuclear RNA is filed under the name Arabidopsis thaliana (thale cress). RNAcentral's name for it is "snRNA_01875". The record is from RNAcentral. Lineage: Eukaryota; Viridiplantae; Streptophyta; Magnoliopsida; Brassicales; Brassicaceae.